GUAUUUUAUAAUGGUUUCUAAACUGACAAUUAUUUGCAUGUAUUAACAACAAAUGUUCUCAAUUAAUGUAGAUUUACGUGCACAAUUUCCACAGCUAACAAACAACAUGAUGACCGUGCAGAACAAGCCUUCGUUAACUUAAAGAAAAAAGAAAAACAGUUCACAAAUGCUGCUGCUGAUGAUGAGGAUGAUGAAGAAGAAGAUGAACAUGAUGAAAGAUCUAAUGAACACAGAACAAAUCAUGACAAAUCAGAACCCCUUUCUCCAGUGACAGACACUCAGGAGAGAAAAACAGACGAGCCGGAAAACACUGAUGCUGAAAAUCCCAAUGAAAGUCAUUUAGCAGACACUUCUGAAACCACUGAGGGAGCGACUGAAGCAGGAGGAGAUGCAGAGGAUGUGGACACUAAUGCAGAUGAUGGAGACUGACAGCACUACAGCACAAAUGACUUGAACACCUCAAUAUAAUCUCUCAGAGAGACAGAAAUCAGUGUGGGAUGGGAACUGAGGGCCAGAUUUACUAAAUGGGGUCGGUGACACUUUACAAUAAGAUUGUGUUAAUGUAUUUACUAACAUCAAUAAACAUUUACAGUAUUACAUUACAGUAAUUAAUGAAAUUAGUUCAAUCAUGUGUGCAUUAACACUCAAUUUAUUUAUUUUUUAGUUCAAACUCAUUUAAAAUGAGCUGAAACAAUUCUUGAGAUUUCAUUGGGACACCUUAAUAUAUGUUCAAUCCACAUACAUUUAAGUUAACUUAAUUAGUGUUGGGACAACAUGAAUGAAUUGUGGAACCCUGCAUUUUUUAUAGUGUACUAAUGUUAACAUGCAUGAAUCUGGAUGUUAAUAGUGCAUUAGUAGAUGUUGAGCUGUGAUUAAUAAACGCUGCACUAUCGUUCAUUAUUAGUCCAUGGUAGUGAAUGCAUUAACUAAUGAAACCUUAUAGUGAAGUGUGACCAUGGGGUUAGUAAAUCUGGUGGAUUAGGGUGAAGAUACAUUUGUAUGUGCUCAGAAAACAAACAUAUUGAACUAUAUUGAAAGCACACACAAAAAAAAGGGUGCUCAACCAAACAAGCAUACAAACUGUAAGCUUUGGUGUUACUGCCUUUCUGUACAUUAUUAAAGCUUGCCUAAUUCA
Long non-coding RNA from Danio aesculapii, 1135 nucleotides. RefSeq lists it as uncharacterized. The transcript has 3 exons. The record is from RefSeq and is a predicted model, not a curated record. NCBI's taxonomy places the organism in Eukaryota, Metazoa, Chordata, Actinopteri, Cypriniformes, Danionidae.